Molecule: long non-coding RNA, 833 nt
Organism: Hypomesus transpacificus
Lineage: Eukaryota; Metazoa; Chordata; Actinopteri; Osmeriformes; Osmeridae
Exons: 3
Source: RefSeq, a predicted model, not a curated record
AGUGCACACAGCCCCGUCCAUACCCGGAUCAGUGGGUGGGUGCAACGUGGGUGACAGGACUCAAACAUGGCUAGUUCUUUCCAGUUAGGAGAGAUCGAACGCCCCGUUAUGGAAGGUGUAAGGGCAGCCUCCAAGGUGCAGGUCCACCGGCGGUGCCGUCCACAUCAUUAAUGGUCUCCACAUCAGUGGUGCCGUCGGGCACUUCCAGCUCUGAGAUCAAAUGGGCAUACUGUAAAUUCUAAAGAGGACACGGAGUGCUUGCUAGGUCUAGAGACAACACCGAUGGCCUCGUCAAAGGCUUUGUCUUCUUCAACAUCAAUAGGACUGCACACAGGAGGAUAAAAGAAGAUACAGUCCCUUAAAAAAUGUACCACCCUAAAAUGUCAAUUAAAUGUUACAUGGUAAAAGUUUAAUACAUAAAAUUGUACAUGAAAUCUGCAAAGUGAAUAGUAAAUUAAUAAAUUAAAUUUCCUUCUCGCUGUCCUUGAAUCCUGUCCCAUGGUCAGAUGGAGCACUGGCUUCAACAGCCUUUUGCUAGAGAUGGGCGAACGAUGCCUUGUGAAGCUUUGGUGGUUUCUUCCGGAUUGUGCCGAACCAAAGAGCCGAAAUUUUAGAGCACAGUGACAUCUAGUGGUUUAAAAUUAUAGCAGCCGUUUAAACUAACUGAAUGCGAUGUACCAGUAGUUUCUGGCGGUACUUCGCCUCGUUAAUUAUUCAAUGUCGUUCAUUUUUGUAAGGCUACGUGAUGGUCUAAUAUUCGUGUUCAUUCAUUAAAACCAUACAUGUGUAUUUGAGAACUGUGUAAUUUUCAUACAAUAAAUAUGUUUUACUGU